GACAGAGGGUGCAAACGUUGUUCGGAAUUACUGGGCGUAAAGCGCGUGUAGGCAGCUCGGAAAGUCGGAUGUGAAAGCCCUGGGCUCAACCUAGGAAGUGCAUUCGAAACUUCCGAGCUGGAGUGCUGGAGAGGAAGGCGGAAUUCUCGGUGUAGAGGUGAAAUGCGUAGAUAUCUGGAGGAACACCGGUGGCGAAGGCGGUACUCUGGGCCGGAACUGACGCUGAGGAGCGAAAGCGUGGGUAGCGAACAGG
This 253-nucleotide ribosomal RNA is filed under the name uncultured bacterium. RNAcentral's name for it is "partial 16S ribosomal RNA". It matches the Rfam family "Bacterial small subunit ribosomal RNA", at positions 524 to 776 of the family's 1533-position model. The record is from RNAcentral.